This 800-nucleotide ribosomal RNA is filed under the name uncultured Acetobacteraceae bacterium. RNAcentral's name for it is "bacterial SSU rRNA". It matches the Rfam family "Bacterial small subunit ribosomal RNA", at positions 41 to 887 of the family's 1533-position model. Lineage: Bacteria; Pseudomonadati; Pseudomonadota; Alphaproteobacteria; Acetobacterales; Acetobacteraceae. The record is from RNAcentral.
GGCAUGCCUAACACAUGCAAGUCGCGCGGUCAGCAAUGGCAGCGGCGGACGGGUGCGUAACGCGUAGGAACGUGUCUUGAGGUGGGGGACAACCCUGGGAAACUGGGGCUAAUACCGCAUAUGGGCUGAGGCCCAAAGCCGUAAGGCGCCUUUGGAGCGGCCUGCGUCCGAUUAGCUAGUUGGUGGGGUAAAGGCCUACCAAGGCUCCGAUCGGUAGCUGGUCUGAGAGGACGAUCAGCCACACUGGGACUGAGACACGGCCCAGACUCCUACGGGAGGCAGCAGUGGGGAAUAUUGGACAAUGGGCGAAAGCCUGAUCCAGCAAUGCCGCGUGGGUGAAGAAGGUCUUCGGAUCGUAAAGCCCUUUCGACAGGGACGAUGAUGACGGUACCUGUAGAAGAAGCCCCGGCUAACUUCGUGCCAGCAGCCGCGGUAAUACGAAGGGGGCUAGCGUUGCUCGGAAUUACUGGGCGUAAAGGGCGCGUAGGCGGCUUAGUCAGUCAGGCGUGAAAUUCCUGGGCUUAACCUGGGGGCUGCGCUUGAUACGGCUAGGCUUGAGGGUAGGAGAGGGUCGUGGAAUUCCCAGUGUAGAGGUGAAAUUCGUAGAUAUUGGGAAGAACACCGGUGGCGAAGGCGGCGACCUGGCCUAUUACUGACGCUGAGGCGCGACAGCGUGGGGAGCAAACAGGAUUAGAUACCCUGGUAGUCCACGCCGUAAACGAUGUGCGCUGGAUGUUGGGGCCCAUAGGGUCUCAGUGUCGUAGCUAACGCGGUAAGCGCACCGCCUGGGGAGUACGGCC